Molecule: transfer RNA, 77 nt
Filed under: Crocinitomicaceae bacterium
Lineage: Bacteria; Pseudomonadati; Bacteroidota; Flavobacteriia; Flavobacteriales; Crocinitomicaceae
Description: tRNA-Pro
Rfam family: tRNA
About the family: Transfer RNA (tRNA) molecules are approximately 80 nucleotides in length. Their secondary structure includes four short double-helical elements and three loops (D, anti-codon, and T loops). Further hydrogen bonds mediate the characteristic L-shaped molecular structure. tRNAs have two regions of fundamental functional importance: the anti-codon, which is responsible for specific mRNA codon recognition, and the 3' end, to which the tRNAs corresponding amino acid is attached (by aminoacyl-tRNA synthetases). tRNAs cope with the degeneracy of the genetic code in two manners: having more than one tRNA (with a specific anti-codon) for a particular amino acid; and 'wobble' base-pairing, i.e. permitting non-standard base-pairing at the 3rd anti-codon position.
Source: RNAcentral
CGGAGUGUAGCGCAGCUUGGUAGCGCAUCUGGUUUGGGACCAGAGGGCCGUAGGUUCAAAUCCUACCACUCCGACCA